GGGUUGUGAGGUUAAGCGACUAAGCGUACACGGUGGAUGCCCUGGCAGUCAGAGGCGAUGAAGGACGUGCUAAUCUGCGAUAAGCGUCGGUAAGGUGAUAUGAACCGUUAUAACCGGCGAUUUCCGAAUGGGGAAACCCAGUGUGAUUCGUCACACUAUCAUUAACUGAAUCCAUAGGUUAAUGAGGCGAACCGGGGGAACUGAAACAUCUAAGUACCCCGAGGAAAAGAAAUCAACCGAGAUUCCCCCAGUAGCGGCGAGCGAACGGGGAGGAGCCCAGAGCCUGAAUCAGUGUGUGUGUUAGUGGAAGCGUCUGGAAAGGCGCGCGAUACAGGGUGACAGCCCCGUACACAAAAAUGCACAUGCUGUGAGCUCGAUGAGUAGGGCGGGACACGUGGUAUCCUGUCUGAAUAUGGGGGGACCAUCCUCCAAGGCUAAAUACUCCUGACUGACCGAUAGUGAACCAGUACCGUGAGGGAAAGGCGAAAAGAACCCCGGCGAGGGGAGUGAAAAAGAACCUGAAACCGUGUACGUACAAGCAGUGGGAGCACAGAGCAAUCUGUGUGACUGCGUACCUUUUGUAUAAUGGGUCAGCGACUUAUAUUCUGUAGCAAGGUUAACCGAAUAGGGGAGCCGAAGGGAAACCGAGUCUUAACUGGGCGUUAAGUUGCAGGGUAUAGACCCGAAACCCGGUGAUCUAGCCAUGGGCAGGUUGAAGGUUGGGUAACACUAACUGGAGGACCGAACCGACUAAUGUUGAAAAAUUAGCGGAUGACUUGUGGCUGGGGGUGAAAGGCCAAUCAAACCGGGAGAUAGCUGGUUCUCCCCGAAAGCUAUUUAGGUAGCGCCUCGUGAAUUCAUCUCCGGGGGUAGAGCACUGUUUCGGCAAGGGGGUCAUCCCGACUUACCAACCCGAUGCAAACUGCGAAUACCGGAGAAUGUUAUCACGGGAGACACACGGCGGGUGCUAACGUCCGUCGUGAAGAGGGAAACAACCCAGACCGCCAGCUAAGGUCCCAAAGUCAUGGUUAAGUGGGAAACGAUGUGGGAAGGCCCAGACAGCCAGGAUGUUGGCUUAGAAGCAGCCAUCAUUUAAAGAAAGCGUAAUAGCUCACUGGUCGAGUCGGCCUGCGCGGAAGAUGUAACGGGGCUAAACCAUGCACCGAAGCUGCGGCAGCGACGCUUAUGCGUUGUUGGGUAGGGGAGCGUUCUGUAAGCCUGUGAAGGUGUACUGUGAGGUAUGCUGGAGGUAUCAGAAGUGCGAAUGCUGACAUAAGUAACGAUAAAGCGGGUGAAAAGCCCGCUCGCCGGAAGACCAAGGGUUCCUGUCCAACGUUAAUCGGGGCAGGGUGAGUCGACCCCUAAGGCGAGGCCGAAAGGCGUAGUCGAUGGGAAACAGGUUAAUAUUCCUGUACUUGGUGUUACUGCGAAGGGGGGACGGAGAAGGCUAUGUUGGCCGGGCGACGGUUGUCCCGGUUUAAGCGUGUAGGCUGGUUUUCCAGGCAAAUCCGGAAAAUCAAGGCUGAGGCGUGAUGACGAGGCACUACGGUGCUGAAGCAACAAAUGCCCUGCUUCCAGGAAAAGCCUCUAAGCAUCAGGUAACAUCAAAUCGUACCCCAAACCGACACAGGUGGUCAGGUAGAGAAUACCAAGGCGCUUGAGAGAACUCGGGUGAAGGAACUAGGCAAAAUGGUGCCGUAACUUCGGGAGAAGGCACGCUGAUAUGUAGGUGAAGUCCCUCGCGGAUGGAGCUGAAAUCAGUCGAAGAUACCAGCUGGCUGCAACUGUUUAUUAAAAACACAGCACUGUGCAAACACGAAAGUGGACGUAUACGGUGUGACGCCUGCCCGGUGCCGGAAGGUUAAUUGAUGGGGUCAGCGCAAGCGAAGCUCUUGAUCGAAGCCCCGGUAAACGGCGGCCGUAACUAUAACGGUCCUAAGGUAGCGAAAUUCCUUGUCGGGUAAGUUCCGACCUGCACGAAUGGCGUAAUGAUGGCCAGGCUGUCUCCACCCGAGACUCAGUGAAAUUGAACUCGCUGUGAAGAUGCAGUGUACCCGCGGCAAGACGGAAAGACCCCGUGAACCUUUACUAUAGCUUGACACUGAACAUUGAGCCUUGAUGUGUAGGAUAGGUGGGAGGCUUUGAAGUGUGGACGCCAGUCUGCAUGGAGCCGACCUUGAAAUACCACCCUUUAAUGUUUGAUGUUCUAAC
Molecule: ribosomal RNA, 2211 nt
Filed under: Escherichia coli
Lineage: Bacteria; Pseudomonadati; Pseudomonadota; Gammaproteobacteria; Enterobacterales; Enterobacteriaceae
Description: partial 23S ribosomal RNA
Rfam family: Bacterial large subunit ribosomal RNA
Source: RNAcentral